AGUGAACGCUGGCGGUAGGCCUAACACAUGCAAGUCGAACGGCAGCACAGUAAGAGCUUGCUCUUACGGGUGGCGAGUGGCGGACGAGUGAGGAAUACAUCGGAAUCUACUUUUUCGUGGGGGAUGACGUAGGGAAACUUACGCUAAUACCGCAUACGACCUACGGGUGAAAGCAGGGGAUCUUCGGACCUUGCGCGAUUGAAUGAGCCGAUGUCGGGUUAGCUAGUUGGCGGGGUAAAGGCCCACCAAGGCGACGAUCCGUAGCUGGGCUGAGAGGAUGAUCAGCCACACUGGAAGUGAGACACGGUCCAGAGUCCGACGGGAGGCAGCAGUGGGGAAUAUUGGACAAUGGGCGCAAGCCUGAUCCAGCCAUACCGCGUGGGUGAAGAAGGCCUUCGGGUUGUAAAGCCCUUUUGUUGGGAAAGAAAAGCAGCAGGUUAAUACCCCGCUGUUCUGACGGUACCCAAAGAAUAAGCACCGGCUAACUUCGUG
This 492-nucleotide ribosomal RNA is filed under the name uncultured bacterium. RNAcentral describes it as "partial 16S ribosomal RNA". It matches the Rfam family "Bacterial small subunit ribosomal RNA", at positions 29 to 507 of the family's 1533-position model. The record is from RNAcentral.